RNAcentral lists this ribosomal RNA (497 nucleotides) under uncultured bacterium. Its description in RNAcentral is "partial 16S ribosomal RNA". It matches the Rfam family "Bacterial small subunit ribosomal RNA", at positions 28 to 507 of the family's 1533-position model. The record is from RNAcentral.
GAUGAACGCUGGCGGCGUGCCUAAUACAUGCAAGUCGAGCGAACAGACGAGGAGCUUGCUCCUCUGACGUUAGCGGCGGACGGGUGAGUAACACGUGGAUAACCUACCUAUAAGACUUGGAUAACUUCGGGAAACCGGAGCUAAUACCGUAUAAUAUAUUGAACCGCAUGGUUCUAUAUUGAAAGACGGUUUUGCUGUCACUUAUAUAUGGAUCCUCGCUGCAUUAGCUAGUUGGUAAGGUAACGGCUUACCAAGGCAACGAUGCGUAGCCGACCUGAGAGAAGGAUAGGCAAAAGUGGAAAUUAGACACGGUGCAGACUCAUAGGGGAGGCAGAAGGAGGGAAUCUUCCGCAAUGGGCGAAAGCCUGACGGAGCAAAGCAGCGUGAGUGAUGAAGGUCUACGGAUCGUAAAACUAUGUUAUUAGAGAAGAACAAAUAUGAAAGUAACAAUGAACGAAUUAAAGGUACCAAAUCAGAAAGCCACGGCUAACUACGUG